Molecule: long non-coding RNA, 1129 nt
Filed under: Gadus morhua (Atlantic cod)
Lineage: Eukaryota; Metazoa; Chordata; Actinopteri; Gadiformes; Gadidae
Description: lncRNA (ENSGMOG00000025543.1)
Source: RNAcentral
GUCCGUAGGGAACUAAUGUACAUACUGCGCAUGCGUUUAGCCCGGUUACGGGCUGAGGUGAAGAGGUGUGUCCGACUACAGGGACUUUCAGAGUGCAGCCAGGUCACCAUGACGACGGGAAGGGAGGGAAAGCGACUGAGUACCGGUACCUGAGUGCUGGGGGAGGCCCCCACGCACUCAGGUACUGCAGGGAUGUUGAUCGUUGUUUAUGGAUGCGUCAACCUAACUAGAAUAACAAAGCCUCCAUGACCAACUUUGAGUUUUAUAUAUUUGUUUGAAUGGUUUUGACUUGGCGCAACAAGUGUUUAGCCCAAUGAAACAACCUGUGUAAGCUACAUAUCAACCAGGACGCAUAUAAGGAAACAAAGGUAACUAAGGACUCGGAAAAUCCCUCGGCAUACCGUGAUGCGCUAUAAACACCGCGACUCACUGCUGUAAACACCGAUGGGCGCGCACAUCAAAGCUAUAAAAACCGCAGGUCGGGAAACUCACCGCUAUAAACACCGCAGGGAGCGCACGGUGCGCACCUCAUAGCCACACUUGGACUUCGGACCUCGAUCCUCAAAAUCUCAACAUAAAGUGAAUUCAAGAGAAUUAAACUACGAUGGAUUCGAGGAAAACAAGCAACGCCUCUGCGUCUAUAGAACAAGGCCAUGAUGACGACUCUUCCACCUUCUUGAGCCCCACAAGAGCUGAAGAGACCCAGAUCGACGGCCCUUUCCCCGCUCUGAAUCAUAUGGGCCGAGAAUUACUGGUCGAGUAUCUGCAAGUGGAACAUGACGCCUCUGCCAGCGUUGAAGACCUCAUCAAGCGGUCAGCGGUGAAGCACUUCCCCUCGCCGCCACCAGGGGGCGACGGUGUGUUAACCCCGGAGCUGCUGGAGGAACACCUGAACGAUGUGAGGCGGGCCGUGCACGACGAGCUGCAUCGGCUGAACCCUCUGCGCAAGAACUACAAGGACCUGGCCGGUCUGGUGCCGUCGUACCACCGCCUCGCGAUGGAACACGUGCACGCCCUCCUACCGAGGAUCUCGUCGUCACAGCAGGCCUUUGUGCUCCUGGAGUGGCUCUGCAACACUUACUUUAGGUUGUCCGCAGCGCGCACACACUUUUCAGAACCAUGUAUUUAA